This is a long non-coding RNA of Alosa sapidissima (American shad), 104 nucleotides long. RefSeq lists it as uncharacterized. The record is from RefSeq and is a predicted model, not a curated record. The transcript has 3 exons. NCBI's taxonomy places the organism in Eukaryota, Metazoa, Chordata, Actinopteri, Clupeiformes, Clupeidae.
AUUUUGUGGUCUCUGCUUUUAUCCCAAUCUGUGAAUUAGCGAAACACUCAGCACGCAGAGAACACACAGUGAGGUGAAGCACACACUAAUCCCGGCGCAGUGAG